RNAcentral lists this ribosomal RNA (1319 nucleotides) under Parantica sita. RNAcentral's name for it is "16S ribosomal RNA". The record is from RNAcentral. Lineage: Eukaryota; Metazoa; Arthropoda; Insecta; Lepidoptera; Nymphalidae.
GGGGAAAAAUUAAUAAUUUAUAAAUAAUAAAAAAAUUUUUAAUACUAGAAUGGGGGUUAUAGUAUUAUAAAUAGAAAAAAUUAUAAAUUUUAUAGUUAAAUAGUAUUGAAAAAGAAUUUUGAAAUAAAUGAAAAUGAAAUUUUUAUAAAGUAAAUUUAAUUUAUUGUAUCUUGUGUAUCAGAGUUUAUUAAAUAAUUUUAUUUAAAAAAAAUAAAUCUCGAAUUUAAAAGAGUUAAUUAAUUAUAAAAGUUAAUAUAAUAUAAUUAUUUUUAAUAAUUAAUUUGAAAUGAAAAGUUAAUCGUUUUUAAAUAUAUCUAGUUUCUUUAGAAAUAAAUUUAAUUUAAAAUUUAGUUUUAUUAGGAAUUUUUUUUUAAUUAUAAAUAAAUUAAAUUUAAUAUUUUAGGGGAUAAGCUUUAAAUUAAAAAUUUAUAUAUAUAUAUAUAAAUAAAUUAAAAUUUUUAAAAUUUAAAUUGUUUAAAAAUUAUAAUUUUUUAUAAAAAAUUUUAAUAAAAAUAAAAUUUAUGAAAAAAUUAAAAUUAUAUAAAGAAAAAAUUUUUAAUAGAAAAAAAUUAAAAAUAAUGAUAAAAUUAGUAUAAAAAAAAAUUAAUAGAAUAAAAAUUUUUAAAAUUAAAUUAAAGGAAUUCGGCAAAUAUAUAUAUUCACUUGUUUAUCAAAAACAUGUCUUUUUGAUAAUAAUUUAAAGUCUAAUCUGCCCACUGAUGAAUAAUUAAAGGGCUGCAGUAUAUUGACUGUACAAAGGUAGCAUAAUCAAUAGUCUUUUAAUUGAAGACUUGAAUGAACGAUUUGAUGAAAUAUAAACUGUCUCUUAUUUAAAUUUAGAAUUUAAUUUUUUAGUUAAAAAGCUAAAAUAAUUUUAAAAGACGAGAAGACCCUAUAGAGUUUUAUAUUUAAAUUAUUUAAUGUUUUAUAUAUAAGUUAUAGUAAAAAUUAAUUUAAAUAUUUUAUUGGGGUGAUAGAAAAAUUUAAAAAACUUUUUUUAUAUAAAAUCAUAAAUAAAUGAAAUAAUGAUCCAUAAUUAAUGAUUAAAAGAAAAAAUUACCUUAGGGAUAACAGCGUAAUUUUUUUUUUUAGUUCAAAUAAGAAAAAGAGAUUGCGACCUCGAUGUUGGAUUAAGAUAAAAUUUAAAUGCAAAAGUUUAAAAUUUUGAUCUGUUCGAUCAUUAAAAUCUUACAUGAUCUGAGUUCAAACCGGUGUGAGCCAGGUUGGUUUCUAUCUUUAGAAAAUUAGAAUAUUUUAGUACGAAAGGAUCAAAUAUUUAAAAUAAUUUUAAAAAAAAGAAUUUUAUUAAUAUAAUAUAA